CCCUGGAGCGUGCCCAGAGCAGGGCUACGGAGCUGGUGAAGGGCCUGGAGCACAAGGCCUGUGUGAAACAAGUAUCGGAGGCUCAGAAGUGCUGAGGUCAGAUGGGAGCUCCAGAGGAGACCACAAACUCCUGCUUGGAGUUGAAUAUCUCCGAGGGUAUGAAUAUCUCCAAGCACAGAAACUCCACAGCCUCUCUGGGCAGCCUUGUGCCAGUGAUUGACCACCCUCCCAGUAUAAAUAUUUAAUUAAAGAAAUAAAUAAAUUGAUAAAGUGUUACAAAUAUUGAAAUACCUAUGCUGUAAGUGUUACAGUUUGAUUUUACAUUUCCAAACACUGUAGAUACAUGUUUUCAAUGUAUUAUUUAUUAAAUAUAUAUAUAUAUAGGGUAGGAAAAAUAUAUGUAUAUAUGUAUUCACCCAUUCACAGCCUUCUGCAUCCCUUGUAAAGAAGAAAAAUGGUUGCAAGUCCAAACUCAAAAAAAAAAAAAAAGUCUUGCAGUUCACCUUUAAUAAAACAAACAGCAAUUUGUUUAAAACGUUGAUUUAUGGCACACCUUAUACAAGAUAAGAGAACCAACAACCUGUUGGAGUUCACCCUCGGCUCUUAUUAACUUUCUUUUGUGGUAGCCUGGAUAGUAUUGUACAGUUUUUAACCUGUAUUAAGUUAUAGCAUGUCAUUAUUUUAUUAUCAAAGGGAAUGACUCAGCCUUGCCACCAUUUGCAGGAUUUGAUUUCCCAGGCAACAAUACAGUUUAUUACACUGCUAAAAUUAAUUAUAUCUGCCCUGUUAAUAUAUGCUUUGGGCUCAAUAUGUGCACCACCAUUUUCAAAACAAAGGAAUUUAUGUCUGGGAUCAGGUAUCAUAAAAGAACAGCUGUAACAAAUAAAGCACAUUUCUACGUAGAUCUAAGUAGUUCCUUCUGUUAAACGUUUUGAAUGCUUUAUGUAUGUGAAAAAUGACCUAGUGUGCUUGAGCCUUAAGUAAAUUCAAGUAUGACUUAAUUUAUUAUUUGUGAGCUGUGCUAACAAUUGCAAUUUAUUUUCAGUCUAAAAUUUCAGAUUCUGAAGUAUUUGGAAGAGAAAGUUGGAAAUUAUUUGGAAAUGAGAAUGCAGUUAUGCACUCUGUAAGCUGGCAUGCAGGAUGCAGGUUUUACUGGAGGCAGCACUGAAUUCCCUAGUUUAGGAGGAAACUAUCCAGUUGGGGGCUGCUUUUCUGUCAAUUUAUUGCAUUUGACAUGUUCUAAGCAGGUUCUGUGAUUCCUAGACAUGGUGCAAGAUGAGGGAUGGAAGCGUGAGCCCAGGAGUGACUGGAGAAGGAGGGGAAGAACAGGAAUUGAAUAGGUCUGUCACGUUAGUGGCAGUGAGAUGGUCAAUUGCUUCACCUGCUCUUUAUCUUUUCCUAGAUUUUGAAUAACAAAGGGUCCCCUCUGCUUGUCAGGGAUGCUGUGUUUGUGCAAACCUCCCCUGGUACAAGCUAAAAGAAAAUGAAGGCUUUUCACUGAGAUAAAGCAAGACUCCAUAUACAAGCAAGUCUCCAGCCUUUGUUGUAAAGGAGAUAACCAAAAUAUGAAUCAAAGAUUUUCAAGUGUGAAUGUUUUGAGAUCUGAAACAAGUGGUUUCAGAAGUGUGAAUUUCCUCUUGCAGAAUUGUUAGCACACUUAAUUUCCAUUUAAGUGGUUAUUCAAAUAGUGAAUUUUUAAUUGUUUGCUGGAACAUGAAAGGUAUGAAUGAGAGCACGUGUUGGUGCCAUUAGGAUAUUGGGACUGAAAAAAACUGCUGCAGCCAUUUAGAGAACAGUUUUGUAAGUCAAGUAGCCUGCUGGCCAAUGAAACAGUUACUGUAAGUAAUCAAAAGGGAAAAAAAUGCAAGUUGAUGUUGUGUGACUUAAAACUUUCUAGGCAGAACAGAGAAUAUGACAGGAAAUGAAAAGUGUCCUUGGAAAAAUACAGGAAGGAGUGGCACAACUGAGCCUGGAAAAGCUACCAAAAAGGUAAACCUUGCAGAAGCUACAAAAAUUAUAGCAGAUGACUAGAACAAGGGAUUCUGAAUGUUUCAGGCCUGUGAGUAUGUUGUGUUUCAGUUCAAAGGAGCUGCACUAGCCUUACCCUUUGCAGCAUGUUCAGGUUCCCAGGGCUCCCAGGACUUCAGGCAUAGGUACUGGAUUUGUGAGUUCUUGCUCACCAUGACUACAUGCUGCUCCUUCAUUUUGCAUGGCUGCAUGCAUGUCUAGAAAAGCUUCUUUGGUAGAGGUCUUGGUCUUUAUCUUGAUCGUGGGAAGUUCAACUAGCCUGUUUUGGCAAGAGCACAAUCAUCUUUUGAACGUCUUUAUAGUCAACCUGGAGAGCAAAAACACAAAUUUGAUGGAGUUUUUACUACAGACAGACUUUAAACUGCAGGUAGAAGAACACCAUUGCAUUUUCUUUGCAAGUACGACAGCUGGUAUUUCCUAGACUUUGUGUCAUGGUAACAUCACAGACACGUUUUAUAUUCAGAAUGUUCUCUGUGCAUUAGUUUUCAUUACAGCAUUUGAAUUUAAUUUUUGGUGUUUUGCACCAAAGUCAGUGUAGAUUUCAAACAGCCUGUAGUGCUGCUAGAAAAUAAUACUGCUUUCAUUAAAGCCUCAGUUGAAUAAGAUGUUCUCACUCACUGUCCUGUUUUGAUUUGAGGUGAUUUGGGACCAUAAAAUGCUCCAUAAUCGUUGGGCUUUUGUGGUCCUGUUCAACUUGAAUGUACGGUCAGGAGGGGAAUGAGUCAGUGAGGUCUCACAACAGCUCUGUGAGGAUGAUACUGCAGCCAAACAGCUCGGCACCAGAGUGCAUUUGGGUCACGGAUGAGGUGUAGCUGUUUCACAUCCCAAAGGAAAAGGAAAGCCAAGGAAGUUGAGAGAGUUCGGAGCGAUGGUGCAAUCUGCGUUGGCCAAGAGCGCAUCAGUGCCAGUGGGCAGAUAGUUUAGGAGUGCUCCUGGAUCCCCAGCCCACGCUAACCUCUUACAUACCAGCACUUGUCAGUAAUGCUGGUGUGAUUUGGGUGGGAGCCUUUCUUCAACCUUUGAAAGUCGCAGCCUGAGCUCAGGUUUUCAGGUGUUCAAAAAAAGGGGAUUGUUACACACAUUAUUGCAUGCUCAGGUGUGAGGGCUGGUAGUACUGGCAACUGUCAGAAUUACCAGAGCUGCUUCUCAAUUUCAGCGACAAUUUCCUGCUGAUUAAAAAUCAAGUUGAAGAUCCUUGUGUGCUUGUUCUCUUGCGGUCUGGCUGCAUCAUAUCUGGAAAGUCAGGCAAAGUCUUGUGAUGAAAGUCAAGCUGAAUUAUUUCACUCUGUCAGUGAAAUGCAACUUUCUGUAGAAUUAGGGCAAAGUUAUUCCAGAGAAAACUUCUUUGAGGAACAGCUGCAGGCAGUAUGUGCUUCCUAAGGAGCUAAGAGCCGUCAUCCAAUGUUAGCAUGUGGCCACGAGUAGCUUUGGAGUCUUAUUUUAAAAAAAUAAAAAAUGCUAUGCAGCAGAAAAUCCCCUCCAACCCAUGGAUAUCUGCGGUGGGGGUUAGUUGUACCAAUAAAUGGGUUGCUAGGAAGAGCUUAACUACUGUCAUAAGUGCAGUGUGAGAAGGUGUGUGGAAAGGAGAUGAUCACCAAUGCCAUUUUGGGCUGUUAAUCUGAUGCUGCUUUUAAACACCGGGUUAGAAACAACCUGCAGAAUCAGUUAUGUGGAGUGUAAAUCAGCUUGUUUUAUUAUUCUGUGGGAGUUUAAGGUAAAGGAUGAGCAGGGAUGGCCUGCUAGUUUGCUAGUGAGACAUAAAAGGACUCUGUUGCUGUAUACAUAAACAUGCAGAGACCCUGAGGCAGCAUGCUAAUUUAGAAGCACCAAGACAUGACUGCCCCGGGGGAAUCUAUAUUUGUCUGUAGAUGACAUAUCUGCUUUCUUCUUUCUCUCUAAAGUCAUCAGAAGGACCACAAGUCAAUUAAAAGGCUCUGCAGCUGAUUUUCUGUUACACAUAAUUGCAAAGUUGUUUUUUAACUGCUCUGCCACACCAGCCCUGAUCAACCUGCACCGCCUUGCGCUCGCUGCAGGCAGGUAGGUGUUGUGUGGGAGGCAGAGCCUUGUAAACACACUGCCUCAGUCUUGCUGGUGUGAGACCCUGCUCUAGCUGUUUGUGGUGCUGCCAAGCGUUAUAAUUGUGCCAUUCGGAUGGAACUAUUCCAGAUCAGGUGUUUCCUGAAAGAGCAUCCUCAGGAUGCUUUUUAUUCGCACUCAGAAAAAAAUAUUUCCAAGACUAAUAUUAGGCAGAUUGGAGUUAUCGUUCCGGUUUCUGUUAUUUUUUGUUCAUUCCGAUACCUACAGCUGUUUGAACACCUGCAACAUCUACGUACUUUUGAGAAAGAAACACAUUUUGGCAGAGGUGUAUACUCCUGUGUCAGAAAUGUUCCCACGAAGCAAAUACAUUGGACUGAACCAUAAUCUCUUUUUAAAAGCUGAUUUAUCCAUAGUCAGCAGAGACACACGAAUAUUGGGCAGCUGAUUGUACCCGAUCCAUCUCGGUGUGUGUGAGGGAUCCAGAAAGACGCUCACCGUGUUCCUGUGCCUGGGCACGGCACCUGGGAACACCAGGGCUCUGUUUGUUCCCUCGAGGCACCGAUCCCAGCAGCAAGCACCAGUGAGGGAUGCAGGGUGCGAUCCUGCCCUCCAUCCUGAGCGGUGGAAGGAGAGGGCUGGAGAGCAGAUCCCCAGCACUUUGGUGCAGAAGUGUUUGCACUCUGAAUCGACAACAGAACUACGUAUUAUGCAAGAGAGGUGCAGCAAAAAUAGAAAUGACUACUUGAAUUUCACCUGAAAGGGAACAGAGCAAAGUAGAGCUUGUAAUUGUCAACAGAGGAAGACAGAAUUCGGUUUCAAGUAAUGAAAAAGCAAGUCCUGUUCUGUCACGGAGUUAUUUUCUUCUCUAUACAGCUCUACAUCAAGGUGUGAUGGUGAGAUGUACUAAACAUUCCAUUGAUUUUUCCUGCUGGGGUCGUAGUCUGAGUCACAAAAUGUAAAAUUAAGGGAGAAAAGUUGCCAGAAUCUAAACCUGGUUUUCAUUAAAAUGUGUUGUCAUUUCGCUAUAAAAUACAUCUGCUACAAUGUUCCAGAAAUUUUAGGCACACAAUAGAGUCAUAAACCGAUUUUAUAACUUGGGUAACACUGUACCAUAGACUCUUGUUUUCCCCCCCUACUGUUUGUAUUAAAUUACCUCAGUCCCGAAACGUUCGUACGCUGUAAGAAAUAAAUGGGUUGUCAUUGCAA
This is a long non-coding RNA of Anas platyrhynchos (mallard), 5271 nucleotides long. RefSeq lists it as uncharacterized. The record is from RefSeq and is a predicted model, not a curated record. Lineage: Eukaryota; Metazoa; Chordata; Aves; Anseriformes; Anatidae.